Molecule: ribosomal RNA, 440 nt
Filed under: uncultured bacterium
Lineage: Bacteria
Description: partial 16S ribosomal RNA
Rfam family: Bacterial small subunit ribosomal RNA
Source: RNAcentral
CCUACGGGUGGCAGCAGUGGGGAAUAUUGCACAAUGGGGGAAACCCUGAUGCAGCGACGCCGCGUGAGUGAAGAAGUAAUUCGGUAUGUAAAGCUCUAUCAGCAGGGAAGAAAAUGACGGUACCUGAGUAAGAAGCCCCGGCUAACUCCGUGCCAGCAGCCGCGGUAAUACGCAGGGGGCAAGCGUUCACCGGUUUUACUGGUUGUAAAGGUAGCGUAGACGGCAGUGCAAGUCGGGAGUGAAAGGCGCGGGCUCAACCCCCGGACUGCUCUGGAAACUGUACGGCUGGAGUGCAGGAGAGGGGAGUGGAAUUCCUGGUGUAGCGGUGAAAUGCGGAGAGAUUAGGAGGAACACCAGGGGCGAAGGCGGCCUACUGGACUGUAACUGACGUUGAGGCUCGAAAGCGUGGGGAGCAAACAGGAGUAGAUACCCUUGUAGUC